RNAcentral lists this ribosomal RNA (390 nucleotides) under Eukaryota sp. Its description in RNAcentral is "SSU rRNA". It matches the Rfam family "Eukaryotic small subunit ribosomal RNA", at positions 829 to 1222 of the family's 1831-position model. The record is from RNAcentral.
CUUUGGUUUUAUUUUGUUGGUUUAAGAACCAAAGUAAUGAUUAAUAGGGGUAGUUGGGGGCAUUAGUAUUUAGAAGUCAGAGGUGAAAUUCUUGGAUUUUUUAAAGACUCGCUAUUGCGAAAGCAUUUGCCAAGGAUGUUUUCAUUGAUCAAGAACGAAAGUUAGGGGAUCGAAGACGAUCAGAUACCGUCGUAGUCCUAACCAUAAACUAUGCCGACUAGGGAUCAGUGGAUUGUUUUAGGACGCCAUUGGCACCUUAUGAGAAAUCAAAGUUUUUGGGUUUUGGGGGGAGUAUGGUCGCAAGAGUGAAACUUAAAGGAAUUGACGGAAGGGCACCACCAGGAGUGGAUUGUUCGGCUUAAUUUGACUCAACACGGGAAACUCACCAGG